GGGGGCGAAAGGACUCGACGGAGGUAGUGAGGGCUAAGCUGCAUGUCGUGGUUCUCACCGCCACGUAAAAUAGGUGGGGAAAACACAACUGCCAACAACGAAUUGGCACUCGCUGCUUAAUUAAAAGCAGCCGCCUUCUUAGGUUCUGCUCUGAGGCUUAAGAAAGGCGUCAUAAAUCAGAGCUAUCCUUAAGUGUUUAACCCGACACUUAAGGGAAACUUAAGGGUUGUAGGCUAUAAGAGAGCCUGUGGAAGGGCGCACUUAUAGCCGAAGCUCAAAGCUUCCACUAAGCAUGUAGAUGCUUAGAAGUAGCACCUUCGGACGCGGGUUCGAUUCCCGCCGCCUCCACCA
Molecule: transfer-messenger RNA, 351 nt
Filed under: Thermodesulfovibrio sp. N1
Lineage: Bacteria; Pseudomonadati; Nitrospirota; Thermodesulfovibrionia; Thermodesulfovibrionales; Thermodesulfovibrionaceae
Also listed under: 3 other names
Rfam family: transfer-messenger RNA
About the family: Bacterial tmRNA, also known as 10Sa RNA or SsrA, is named for its dual tRNA and mRNA-like properties.
Source: RNAcentral